CUAGCAAAUUCAAAUCACACAUUUUGAUUAGGUUUAAAAAAUUAAUUAUAUGCAUAGAAAUAUACUCCAGACAACAAAUCCCGGCAUGCCCCUGAGCGGCCCGAGGUGGAGGGUUCUAGAAGGCGUGACGUGAGGUCGAGAGCGGGAUCCGAGGCUGGCGCCUUUCGGCAGUCGCUGUGGGUGCAGCUGCCGGGCCUCGGGACGCGGGCGGCCGAGGCCGCCGUCGCAGCCUCCUAGUCUCGCCGGCUAUGGCUACGCUCGGCCGGCCCUUUAGCGGCCUCCCUCUGAGCGGCAGCUCGGACUUCCUACAGCCGCCGCAGCCGGCCUUCCUCGACCGGGCCUUCCCGCCAGGGGCUGACGGCGCAGACUUGGCCCCGCGAUCGGGACCCCGCGCAGUCCCUAGCAGCCCCACCGGGAGUGCGGCGCGCGGACGUGUUUCUGUUCACUGUAAAAAGAAACACAAGCGAGAGGAGGAGGAUGAUGAUUGUCCAGUAAGAAAGAAAAGGAUAACUGAAGCAGAGCUCUGUGCUGGUCCUAAUGACUGGAUUCUUUGUGCACAUCAGGAUGUAGAGGGGCAUGGAGUAAAUCCCUGCAUUAGUGGCCUUUCCGUACCUGGGAUAUUAGAUGUUAUUUGUGAAGAAAUGGAUCAGACAACUGGAGAACCACAGUGUGAAGUUGCCCGAAGGAAGCUUCAAGAGAUUGAGGACAGGAUAAUUGAUGAAGAUGAAGAAGUUGAAGCUGACAGAAAUGUUAACCAUCUCCCCAGUCUUGUCCUUUCUGAUACCAUGAAAACAGGUUUGAAGAGGGAAUUUGAUGACGUUUUUACAAAGAAAAUGAUUGAGUCUAUGAGCCGUCCUUCCAUGGAGCUUGUUCUCUGGAAACCCCUCCCUGAACUCCUUUCUGAUAAGCCAAAGCCAUCCUCUAAUACUAAGAACUAUACAGGAGAGAGCCAAGCUAAGCAUGCAGCUGCUGGCACUGCCUUCCCUCAGAGAACUGAACUGUUCUUGGAACCUCGGCAACCAGGGAUGUCUCUUUAUAAUAGUUUGGAGACAGCUACUAGCACAGAAGAGAUGGAACUCUAGAAACCAAUUUCUACACUAAAGUUGUCAAAUGUUAGAAGAAUCCUGUGUUCAGUUAUGAGACUCUUUGCAUAGUAUAGAGACUUGAAAGUUUUAUGAAACGGGUGUAAUAAUAUCUCCACCUGUGAUUUGGGGGUGGGACUCUCAUUUUGGGUAGCCAUUUAUUGACUUCAACUUUUUGCCAAGGAAGUUUGUCUCAAAGGAAAAGCAGUUUUCUGUGGGGCUUAUUAAAGGAAUGUUGGUUUACAGUUUAAAAAAAAAAAGAAAUAUACUCCAGGCAGGGCACGGUGGCCCACGCCUGUAAUCCC
RNA transcript from Piliocolobus tephrosceles (Ugandan red Colobus), 1387 nucleotides. It is a transcript of the gene named coiled-coil domain-containing protein 117 pseudogene, with no coding region annotated. The record is from RefSeq and is a predicted model, not a curated record. Lineage: Eukaryota; Metazoa; Chordata; Mammalia; Primates; Cercopithecidae. The transcript has a single exon.